This 456-nucleotide ribosomal RNA is filed under the name uncultured bacterium. RNAcentral describes it as "bacterial SSU rRNA". It matches the Rfam family "Bacterial small subunit ribosomal RNA", at positions 28 to 487 of the family's 1533-position model. The record is from RNAcentral.
GAUGAACGCUGGCGGCGUGCCUAACACAUGCAAGUCGAGCGAUUUACUUCGGUAAAGAGCGGCGGACGGGUGAGUAACGCGUGGGUAACCUGCCCUGUACACACGGAUAACAUACCGAAAGGUAUGCUAAUACGAGAUAAUAUGCUUUUAUCGCAUGGUAGAAGUAUCAAAGCUCCGGCGGUACAGGAUGGACCCGCGUCUGAUUAGCUAGUUGGUAAGGUGACGGCUUACCAAGGCGACGAUCAGUAGCCGACCUGAGAGGGUGAUCGGCCACAUUGGAACUGAGACACGGCCCAGACUCCUACGGGAGGCAGCAGUAGGGAAUUUUCGGCAAUGGGGGAAACCCUGACCGAGCAACGCCGCGUGAGCGAAGAAGGCCUUCGGGUCGUAAAGCUCUGUUGUAAAGGAAGAACGUCGCAUGCAGGAAAUGGUGUGCGAGUGACGGUACUUACCAGA